Molecule: non-coding RNA, 219 nt
Organism: Pelobates cultripes (western spadefoot toad)
Lineage: Eukaryota; Metazoa; Chordata; Amphibia; Anura; Pelobatidae
Source: the annotation of a GenBank genome assembly
GUAAGUGUGUAGGUAAAAAUGCAGUGGUUUAUUGUUUUGUACACGAAAAGCAAUAAUGUCUAAGAAGCCUGUAGUACACCGAAUGACUGAUAGGGGGUCAGUAUGUAGGUGAAAAAUGCAGUGGUUUGUUGGUUUGUACAUAAAAUGCAAUAAUGUCUGAGAAGCCUGUAGUACACAGAAUGACUGGUAGGUGUCAGUGUGUAGGUGAAAAUGCAGUGG